RNAcentral lists this long non-coding RNA (491 nucleotides) under Pogona vitticeps (central bearded dragon). RNAcentral describes it as "lncRNA (ENSPVIG00000014231.1)". The record is from RNAcentral. Lineage: Eukaryota; Metazoa; Chordata; Lepidosauria; Squamata; Agamidae.
CACUGGGAAAAGCUGAAAGCAACAAUAAAACAGGAAGACUGCGAUAAGAGAUAGGGUGGCACCAUAAAGGAAACUACAGCCUUGAGUCUGUAAGAGUUGUACAGAGCUAUUGCUAAUAGGACAUUCUGGAGGUCAUAAAGACACGUGACGUGAUGUAACAAAAGCAAGUAUUCCUACUAGUCAUUGUCUAGGUCUGGACACCAUGUUACAAAAAGUGCUCCACACAUUGUCUCACUAUAGUUAGAAUUGCAUGGAAACCAGGUCAGCAACAUAACAGAUUGACAUGGAUAUCUCUCUGGUAAAGAGAGGGAGGGAUGUCAACAUAUAUGUAAAUCCCUUUGAGUAUGUUACCAGAAACAUCAUCAUCUGACUGGCCCACCCUAUAUGGCCCUUGGAGGAAAAAAAUAGUUCUUCUGCAGGACAAUUACCGAACAGCUGUUAUCAUGACUGCGGAAAUCAGAUGAAAUAUUUCGUAUUUGAUGCUCUCAGAU